Molecule: ribosomal RNA, 254 nt
Filed under: uncultured bacterium
Lineage: Bacteria
Description: partial 16S ribosomal RNA
Rfam family: Bacterial small subunit ribosomal RNA
Source: RNAcentral
UACAGAGGUCUCAAGCGUUUGUUCGGAUUCAUUGGGCGUAAAGGGUGCGUAGGCGGCGCGGUAAGUCGGGUGUGAAAUCUCGGAGCUUAACUCCGAAACUGCAUUCGAUACUGCCGUGCUUGAGGACUGGAGAGGAGACUGGAAUUUACGGUGUAGCGGUGAAAUGCGUAGAUAUCGUAAGGAAGACCAGUGGCGAAGGCGGGUCUCUGGACAGUUCCUGACACUGAGACACGAAGGCCAGGGGAGCAAACGGG